GGACCCGCACAAGCGGUGGAUGAUGUGGUUUAAUUCGAUGCAACGCGAAAAACCUUACCCACCUUUGACAUGUACGGAAGAUCGCAGAGACGCGAUUGUGCUCGAAAGAGAGCCGUAACACAGGUGCUGCAUGGCUGUCGUCAGCUCGUGUCGUGAGAUGUUGGGUUAAGUCCCGCAACGAGCGCAACCCUUGCCAUUAGUUGCUACGAAAGGGCACUCUAAUGGGACUGCCGGUGACAAACCGGAGGAAGGUGGGGAUGACGUCAAGUCCUCAUGGCCCUUAUAGGUGGGGCUACACACGUCAUACAAUGGCUGGUACAAAGGGUUGCCAACCCGCGAGGGGGAGCCAAUCCCAUAAAGCCAGUCGUAGUCCGGAUCGCAGUCUGCAACUCGACUGCGUGAAGUCGGAAUCGCUAGUAAUCGUGGAUCAGAAUGUCACGGUGAAUACGUUCCCGGGUCUUGUACACACCGCCCGUCACACCAUGGGAGCGGGUUCUGCC
Molecule: ribosomal RNA, 500 nt
Filed under: uncultured Comamonadaceae bacterium
Lineage: Bacteria; Pseudomonadati; Pseudomonadota; Betaproteobacteria; Burkholderiales; Comamonadaceae
Description: bacterial SSU rRNA
Rfam family: Bacterial small subunit ribosomal RNA
Source: RNAcentral